RNAcentral lists this ribosomal RNA (465 nucleotides) under uncultured Klebsiella sp. Its description in RNAcentral is "bacterial SSU rRNA". It matches the Rfam family "Bacterial small subunit ribosomal RNA", at positions 338 to 795 of the family's 1533-position model. Lineage: Bacteria; Pseudomonadati; Pseudomonadota; Gammaproteobacteria; Enterobacterales; Enterobacteriaceae. The record is from RNAcentral.
CCUACGGGUGGCUGCAGUGGGGAAUAUUGCACAAUGGGCGCAAGCCUGAUGCAGCCAUGCCGCGUGUGUGAAGAAGGCCUUCGGGUUGUAAAGCACUUUCAGCGGGGAGGAAGGCGUUAAGGUUAAUAACCUUGUCGAUUGACGUUACCCGCAGAAGAAGCACCGGCUAACUCCGUGCCAGCAGCCGCGGUAAUACGGAGGGUGCAAGCGUUAAUCGGAAUUACUGGGCGUAAAGCGCACGCAGGCGGUCUGUCAAGUCGGAUGUGAAAUCCCCGGGCUCAACCUGGGAACUGCAUUCGAAACUGGCAGGCUAGAGUCUUGUAGAGGGGGGUAGAAUUCCAGGUGUAGCGGUGAAAUGCGUAGAGAUCUGGAGGAAUACCGGUGGCGAAGGCGGCCCCCUGGACAAAGACUGACGCUCAGGUGCGGAAGCGUGGGGAGCAAACAGGAUUAGAUACCCUAGUAGUC